Molecule: ribosomal RNA, 350 nt
Filed under: Lentilactobacillus buchneri
Lineage: Bacteria; Bacillati; Bacillota; Bacilli; Lactobacillales; Lactobacillaceae
Description: bacterial SSU rRNA
Rfam family: Bacterial small subunit ribosomal RNA
Source: RNAcentral
AGCGCNCUAUCAUGCAGUCGAACGCGUCUCCGUUAAUGAUUUUAGGUGCUUGCACUUGAAAGAUUUAACAUUGAGACGAGUGGCGAACUGGUGAGUAACACGUGGGUAACCUGCCCUUGAAGUAGGGGAUAACACUUGGAAACAGGUGCUAAUACCGUAUAACAACCAAAACCACCUGGUUUUGGUUUAAAAGACGGCUUCGGCUGUCACUUUAGGAUGGACCCGCGGCGUAUUAGCUUGUUGGUAAGGUAACGGCCUACCAAGGCGAUGAUACGUAGCCGACCUGAGAGGGUAAUCGGCCACAUUGGGACUGAGACACGGCCCAAACUCCUACGGGAGGGCAGCAGUAA